This 447-nucleotide ribosomal RNA is filed under the name uncultured bacterium. Its description in RNAcentral is "partial 16S ribosomal RNA". It matches the Rfam family "Bacterial small subunit ribosomal RNA", at positions 329 to 792 of the family's 1533-position model. The record is from RNAcentral.
GGCCAGACUCCUACGGGAGGCAGCAGUGGGGGAUAUUGCACAAUGGGGGGAACCCUGAUGCAGCGACGCCGCGUGGGUGAAGGAGCGUUUCGGCGCGUAAAGCCCUAUCGGCAGGGAAGAAGGGGGACGGUACCUGACUAAGAAGCCCCGGCUAACUACGUGCCAGCAGCCGCGGUAAUACGUAGGGGGCACGCGUUAUCCGGAUUUACUGGGUGUAAAGGGAGCGUAGACGGCAUGGCAAGUCAGAUGUGAAAGCCCGGGGCUCAACCCCGGGACUGCAUUUGAAACUGUCAGGCUGGAGUGCAGGAGAGGUAAGUGGAAUUCCUAGUGUAGCGGUGAAAUGCGUAGAUAUUAGGAGGAACACCAGUGGCGAAGGCGGCUUACUGGACUGUAACUGACGUUGAGGCUCGAAAGCGUGGGGAGCACACAGGAUUAGAUACCCCCGUA